Molecule: non-coding RNA, 125 nt
Organism: Triticum aestivum (bread wheat)
Lineage: Eukaryota; Viridiplantae; Streptophyta; Magnoliopsida; Poales; Poaceae
Source: Rfam
AACAUACUCCAUCAGUCCCGAAAUACUUGUCGGAGGAAUGGAUGUAUCUAGACGUAUUUUAAUUCUAAAUACAUCCAUUUUUAUGCAUUUCUGAGACAAGUAUUUCCGGACGGAGGGAGUAUAUA